This 1895-nucleotide long non-coding RNA is filed under the name Homo sapiens (human). RNAcentral's name for it is "non-protein coding lnc-VPS13A-2:1". The record is from RNAcentral. Lineage: Eukaryota; Metazoa; Chordata; Mammalia; Primates; Hominidae.
GACCAGAAAAAGCAUAGAAAAAUUAGAUCCACACACAGCACCCAAAAAAGGCCAUAGUCUUUUGUUUACCUAGAUGUAUUUUAACCUCUUUACCACUAAGCAUUUUACUAUAAUAGAACUGGGGACAUACAUUGUCCUUUUGAGUCCGUUGAAUCUGCACCAUCUACCUUUUGGCUGAUUCACCAUACAGGUGGCAAAGGCCUUUAAAAAUGGGGAGCUAAUACGUAGGGCACAUUCUGGUAGGGCCAAAAUAUUCAGUGUCUGGGGGGUGCUAUGCAAAUAUCAAUGACUUUUUACUAAAAACAGUGGAUUUCCUCAUUUCUUUAAGAUCCAAGUAGAAAAUGUAAAUAACUUACAUUCUGUAUGCAGGACUCAAUACAGACUUAGUCAAUCUGAUUUUUUUUGGUGCUUUUCAGUAUAGCGCAACUCUAAAAGGAAACCCAUUCACCCUCCUUAGUCCUUUGAAGUAUACUUUUGAAAUUAUACCUUAUUGUUAAUGGCAACCUAAUCAAGCUAGGAUUUGUCGGUUAAAAUUUUGAUUCUUGUAAUCUGUACUGUCAAUUUUUGGCCACUCUGGCUGUUACAGCAAACUUUUCUCCCACUGUCAUAAUUGGUCUAAAGUAGUAUUUGUUUCAGGACUAUCCAAAAAGCAAGGCCAGCACAUUGAGAAGAUGCAGAAUCCUACUCUAUUACAAACCUCACUCAUGUUUCUUUUAUUGAAACCUUUUUCUACUUUAUAUUUCCUCUUUUGUAAAUUUUUCCAUGUCAUUUAAAAAAUUUUUUACUUUAGAAUUACAGAUUAGUUCUUUUUUUAAAGCAUUAUGGCAUUUUCAAAAAAAAAAUUAUUUUGGUUACCCAAAAAGCUAUACAAGAAAUAUAACUUCAAUUUUUUAGGUUGAUAUGGGUAUAUUUUUAAAGUUUUUAUUACUUUAUACAAAUACAAAUUAAUUUAUAUUAUAGUUUAACACCUGCUAUGAUGAUAGAUAUCACACUGCUAUGAUAGAAAAUCCCUGUCUGUCAUUGAACUAUUCAUUUAGUGUUACUCUGAUAUGUUAAUAAUGUAUUCCUUCUAAUGAAGUCCUUGUAACAAGAAACCCUGUGAGAUUGGUAUAAUGAGAUAUCAAAUAAUCAGAAGUAUAAUUAAAAUAGAACAUGUUGGAAAAUCCCAACAUUUCCUGUUAUGCCGUCAUACCUCCGGUGUUCAGUUUGUUACUCAAAAGUUCCCAGUUCUUAGGCUGAAAAACAUUCAAGUAAAAAUGUAGCAUAGAUUACACUGAAAUAUUUUCAGUAUCAAUGAUUUAAUAUCCACACAAACUAUUAGGAAUGGUAUCUGGAACUUGUUACAAGGUCAGAUAAACUGUUACAGAAUUUUAGAAAUAAUUAUCUCUGUAUGUGACUGUGUAUUACAUAUAAAAAUGAAUUUUUCAGGAAAAGUGCACUUUAAAAAUACUUUCUCUUGCUAGUUUUUUAAAUUGAUGAAAUAGCCUGUGCUGCUUUGGAAUGCUUAUUCUUUCUUUGAUGAAAAUACGGUCAUUGAUUAUGAUAAUUUUAAAAAUAUCUAUUUCUGCAUCGCUGCAGGAUUUCCUACACUUUUCUGUUCCUCAUCCCUCUUUUAUGUGUGCUUGGCUCAGUUGCCUGUUACACAGCCUCUGCCUUGGUUUUGUGUAUUCUAAGAUAAUUUAUAAACACAGAUAUUUACAGUGAAGUUCUUCCUUUUGAAACUAAUCUUAUUCUUUUAUUCCUCUCUCUAAAAAUUGGUUGGCCAUGCUCACUAAUGAUUUUUUUUCUUAACAAUAAGCAUUUCUUGGUAUUGGUAGAUUUGGAUUGCAUGGUAAGAUGACUGCCCAUUUUCACCAUGUAUACCUUUGUCAAAUAAAGAUUUCUGAUCUUUGGUC